Molecule: long non-coding RNA, 199 nt
Filed under: Elaeis guineensis (African oil palm)
Lineage: Eukaryota; Viridiplantae; Streptophyta; Magnoliopsida; Arecales; Arecaceae
Description: long non-coding RNA (EGUI_LNC023215)
Source: RNAcentral
CCCAUGUCAAAGCGAGGUGCCUCUAGGUGCAUCCCUUCCAGACACUCCACAGUUAGUUGGAGGGUGGGAGAGAGCCCCUUUAUGAUGCAGUGGAUGGUGGCGGUUGUCAAGCCUCCAAUGAAACUAUAACAGCAACAUCAUCUUCUCCAAAUAUGAAAGCUAGAGGAAAUGGGCUUGACCAUAAGCAAUAGCCCCUUCC